GUGUUUGUUUCAGCAGCACAUAUAUUGAAGCCUGAAACGAUUUACAGAAGAGUAGCAUGUUCUCUGUGCAAGGAUGACACACAAAUUCUGAAGUGUUCCAUAUUUUU
Sciurus vulgaris (Eurasian red squirrel) is the source of this 107-nucleotide small nuclear RNA. The record is from Ensembl. Lineage: Eukaryota; Metazoa; Chordata; Mammalia; Rodentia; Sciuridae.